RNAcentral lists this ribosomal RNA (468 nucleotides) under uncultured bacterium. RNAcentral describes it as "partial 16S ribosomal RNA". It matches the Rfam family "Bacterial small subunit ribosomal RNA", at positions 28 to 507 of the family's 1533-position model. The record is from RNAcentral.
GACGAACGCUGGCGGCGUGCUUAACACAUGCAAGUCGAACGGAAAGGCCCUGCUUUUGUGGGGUGCUCGAGUGGCGAACGGGUGAGUAACACGUGAGUAACCUGCCCUUGACUUUGGGAUAACUUCAGGAAACUGGGGCUAAUACCGGAUAGGAGCUCCUGCUGCAUGGUGGGGGUUGGAAAGUUUCGGCUGUUGGGGAUGGACUCGCGGCUUAUCAGCUUGUUGGUGGGGUAGUGGCUUACCAAGGCUUUGACGGGUAGCCGGCCUGAGAGGGUGACCGGCCACAUGGGGACUGAGAGACGGCCCAGACUCCUACGGGAGGCAGCAGUGGGGAAUAUUGCACAAUGGGCGGAAGCCUGAUGCAGCAACGCCGCGUGCGGGAUGACGGCCUUCGGGUUGUAAACCGCUUUCGCCUGUGACGAAGCGUGAGUGACGGUAAUGGGUAAAGAAGCACCGGCUAACUACGUG